CAAUAGCGUAUAUUAAAGUUGUUGCAGUUAAAAAGCUCGUAGUUGGAUUUCUGGUGGGAGCGAUCGGUCUGGCGCUUAGCGCGAGUACUUGCAUCGUCUCCGGCCAUCCUUGGGGAGAGUCUGUCUGGCAUUAAGUUGUCGGGCAGAGGAUCCUCAUCGUUUACUGUGAAAAAAUUAGAGUGUUCAAAGCAGGCUUAUGCCGUUGAAUAUAUUAGCAUGGAAUAAUAAGAUAGGACUUUGGUACUAUUUUGUUGGUUUGCGCACCAAAGUAAUGAUUAAUAGGGACAGUGGGGGGUAUUCGUAUUCCGUUGUCAGAGGUGAAAUUCUUGGAUUUACGGAAGACGAACUACUGCGAAAGCAUUUACCAAGGAUGUUUUCAUUAA
RNAcentral lists this ribosomal RNA (383 nucleotides) under uncultured eukaryote. RNAcentral describes it as "partial 18S ribosomal RNA". It matches the Rfam family "Eukaryotic small subunit ribosomal RNA", at positions 592 to 976 of the family's 1831-position model. The record is from RNAcentral.